Molecule: transfer RNA, 74 nt
Filed under: Candidatus Aquiluna sp. IMCC13023
Lineage: Bacteria; Bacillati; Actinomycetota; Actinomycetes; Micrococcales; Microbacteriaceae
Also listed under: 4 other names
Description: tRNA-Gly
Rfam family: tRNA
About the family: Transfer RNA (tRNA) molecules are approximately 80 nucleotides in length.
Source: RNAcentral
GCGAGUGUAGCUCAAUGGUAGAGCCUCAGUUUUCCAAACUGAUGACGCGGGUUCGAUUCCCGUCACUCGCUCCA